UUGAAGUCGGAAUCGCUAGUAAUCGCAGAUCAGCAUGUUGCGGUGAAUACGUUUCCUGGUCUUGUACACACCGCCCGUCAAACCAUGAGAGUCGCCAACACCCAAAGUCCGCUUUGCGGCCUAAGGUGGGGGAGAUGAUUGGGGUUAAGUCGUAACAAGGUACC
Molecule: ribosomal RNA, 164 nt
Filed under: uncultured bacterium
Lineage: Bacteria
Description: partial 16S ribosomal RNA
Rfam family: Bacterial small subunit ribosomal RNA
Source: RNAcentral